CCGCUGAUUGGCUGAAGCAAGGCCCGUAGCUCCCUUAGUCGGGGUGUGAGGAGACGGCCCCUGGGGAGCCGAGGGGACGACGGCUAUUCUCAGAGGAGCGGAUCUUAGAUUUAGAGCUGGAAGGGACCGUAGAGCUUAUCUGGUCCAAACCACUAAUUCCGCACAUGAGGAAACUGAUCCCCAGAGUUGUUAAGUGAUUUGCCCAAGAUCACACAGAAUGCAGGUUAGAACUCCAGAGAAAAUGUCUACUGAAUGGUCCUCUUGGACAAACCUUUCAACCAUUCAGAAAAUAGCACUGGGACUUGGAAUUCCAGCCAGCCUGACUGUUGCUUAUAUUCUCUACCGAAGAUAUAGAGAAAGCCGAGAAGAACGACUGACAUUCGUUGGGGAAGAUGAUAUUGAGGUGGAGAUGCGGGUCCCCCAGGAGGCUGUGAAACUGAUUAUUGGCCGACAAGGAGCCAAUAUUAAACAGUUGAGGAAGCAGACUGGUGCUCGUAUUGAUGUGGACACAGAAGAUGUAGGUGAGGAGCGGGUGCUGCUCAUCAGUGGCUUUCCUGUCCAGGUUUGCAAAGCCAAAGCAGCAAUCCACCAGAUCCUGACGGAGAACACCCCAGUGUAUGAACAGCUUUCAGUACCUCAGAGAUCUGUGGGCAGAAUUAUAGGGAGAGGUGGGGAGACCAUUCGUGCCAUCUGCAAAAGCUCUGGGGCCAAAAUCACCUGUGACAAGGAAUCAGAAGGGACAUUGCUACUAACACGCCUCAUAAAGAUCUCAGGAACCCAGAAGGAAGUGGCAGCGGCCAAGCAUCUUAUCCUAGAAAAAGUUUCUGAAGAUGAAGAGCUCCGGAAGAGGAUUGCUCAUUCAGCAGAAUCCAGAGUACAGCGCAAGCAGCCCAUCAGUGUCAAGAGAGAAGAAGUGGUAGGGCCCAGGGGAGCUGGGGAGCCAGCCUUUCCUAAGGACAUGAGCAUCAGCAAGAAGCUGGCCCCCACAAUGGCUUCUGCUCCUAGCCGAGGAGGAGGAGAUACAGCUGGGCUGAGACCAGAGCGGGUAGAAUAUUCCCAUGAACGAAAGUUUAGUGAGAACAGCUACCAGGAGAACGUGGGAGCCCAGGCCAGUCCAGAGAUGCCAAAGUUUGAAAUCCCCAGCCCUGACUUCAGUUUCCAUGCUGACGAGUAUCUAGAAGUCUAUGUGUCUGCCUCUGAAAACCCCAACCAUUUCUGGAUCCAGAUUAUUGGCUCCCGCAGCUUACAGCUGGACAAGCUGGUCAACGAGAUGACCCAGUACUAUGAGAACAGUCAGUCACCUGAAGAUCUGACUGUGCACGUGGGUGACAUUGUAGCAGCUCCUUUACCUACAGAUGGACCCUGGUAUCGGGCCCGGGUCCUGGGUACCCUUGAGAAUGGGAACUUGGAUCUCUACUUUGUUGACUUUGGAGAUAAUGGGGAGAGCCCACUCAAGGACUUGAGAGCUAUCAGGAGUGACUUCCUAAGCCUCCCAUUCCAAGCAAUAGAAUGUAGUCUAGCAAGGAUUGUUCCCUCAGGUGAGCAGUGGGAAGAGGAAGCCCUAGAUGAAUUUGAUCGCCUCACUCAUUGUGCAGAGUGGAAACCUCUGGUGGCCAAGAUCUCCAGCUAUGUGCAAACAGGGAUUUCUACUUGGCCAGAAAUCCACCUUUAUGACACAAGCAAUGGCCAGAAUCUUGAUAUCGGGCUAGAACUAGUGCGCCAGGGUUAUGCAGUUGAACUCCCCCAAGAUGUGGGAGAAGGAGAUGUUGCUGUCCCUGAGAUGCUGCAGGAUAUAUUGGCCACAGAGACAGAUGCCUCUCUAGAUAGCCUGUUGUCUGAGGCCAAGAAGAGCCCUGGGGAGACACCACACACUCUCUCAUGCCUCAGCUUAUCAGAAGCUGCCUCAGUUUCUGGUGAUGAUGGUGUCCUUGCAGAAGAUGACUUACUCUGAUGUCUGUGCUCUGGCUGGCUCAGCCACCUGCCUGCUUUGUGAGUGGGGCUCUGAUUUGUGUCUUAUGGAGCAGGAAAACGGAAGUGGCAAGGUAUGGCAUGGAGGCCUGUGGCUGGACAGAAAAUCAAAUUCCACAGAAGAUACCCCAACAUUUCCUCCUUUGUGGACUGCCUGUUAAUUGGCCUGCUGUGAACCAAAUACAGCUGCUUCUACUAGCAGAAUGAAGCACUUUUCAGAAAAAGACUAUAUAUGUGUGUGCAUGUGUUUGUGUAUCAGGCGCUGCCUUAGAAGGGGUUCCCUUAGCACUGCCCACAGACACAAGCAAUAAAAGCACUGUCCUAUGAUGCCGGGUAUUUGGUUGGAACUGGGAGGGAAAACAUUGGUUAGGGUUCUAUUAGUUGAGAGUAGGGAUUAUUCAGAAGUCUACUUCAUUUAAAAUUUUUAAGUUGUGAAUUGAAGAAGUUCUGAACCCCCCACAGGUUUUUACAACUGUGGAUGAAGAGACACCCUGGGUAUAAGGUUAACAGGAUUGAAUCAAUAGCCCAAGGAAAUAAGCUGGUAAUACUCCCUGCCAGCUUCAGGUGAUGCCAUUAUUAUUUAAGGCAAGAUUUUUGAGAGUUGUCUCCCUCUUGAACCUAGGCUGUGGUACCAGCAGGAAAACAGUGAGGGCUCAGGAAAUGUUAUAAAAUGCAAUGCCUUAGGUAGGUGCAAUGGCCUAUAUGUAUGUAAAGAGAGAGAGAACUCUGUAAGCCACAUAGGGAAAUCAUUAUUAAAAUAAAGUUCUGUUUUUUAAAUGAC
This is an RNA transcript of Dromiciops gliroides (monito del monte), 2749 nucleotides long. It is a transcript of the gene named tudor and KH domain containing, with no coding region annotated. The transcript is spliced from 15 exons. The record is from RefSeq and is a predicted model, not a curated record. Lineage: Eukaryota; Metazoa; Chordata; Mammalia; Microbiotheria; Microbiotheriidae.